CUCAUGUCGAAGAGGGGGGAGGAGAACUCUCGCCGGGUUCGAACAGAGCAGCUUGCUGCGAUAAACGGCCGCAGGCCGCCCCGAAGGGGUGAGCCACGCAGUGGCGAAUGAUCCUGCCCUCAUAACCA
This 128-nucleotide small RNA is filed under the name Aeromonas hydrophila. RNAcentral's name for it is "RtT sRNA". It matches the Rfam family "RtT RNA". From Rfam's summary of the family: This family represents a bacterial cis-regulatory element known as RtT RNA. The exact function of RtT is unknown although it is thought that it may be involved in changing the cellular response in relation to amino acid starvation. The record is from RNAcentral. Lineage: Bacteria; Pseudomonadati; Pseudomonadota; Gammaproteobacteria; Aeromonadales; Aeromonadaceae.